This 45-nucleotide non-coding RNA is filed under the name Mytilus galloprovincialis (Mediterranean mussel). It matches the Rfam family "Histone 3' UTR stem-loop". From Rfam's summary of the family: The mRNAs of metazoan histone genes lack a poly-A tail. Lineage: Eukaryota; Metazoa; Mollusca; Bivalvia; Mytilida; Mytilidae. The record is from RNAcentral.
AAAACGGCCCUUUUAAGGGCCACCAAUAUUGUUAAAAAAGAAUCA